GAUGAACGCUGGCGGCGUGCCUAAUACAUGCAAGUCGAGCGAACAGACGAGGAGCUUGCUCCUCUGACGUUAGCGGCGGACGUGUGUGUAACACGUGUAUAACCUACCUAUAAGACUUGGAUAACUUCGGGAAACCGGAUCUAUUCCGGUUUAUUUAUUUAACCUCUUUGUUCAAUUGUUAAAUUCGGUUUUUCUUUCACUUUUAGCUUGAUCCUCGCCUCAUUAGCUAGUUGGUAAGGUAACGGCUUACCAAGGCAACGAUGCGUAGCCGACCUGAGAGGGUGAUCGGACACACUGGAACAGAGACACGGACAAGACGACUACGGGAGGCAGCAGUAGGGAAUAUUACGCAAUGGGCGAAAGCAUGACGGAGCAACGCCGAGUGAGUGAUGAAGGUCUUAGGAUCGUAAAACUCUGUUAUUAGGGAAGAACAAAUGUGUAAGUAAAUAUGCACGUAUUGACGGUAACUAAUCAGAAAGCCACGGCUAACUACGUG
This 496-nucleotide ribosomal RNA is filed under the name uncultured bacterium. RNAcentral describes it as "partial 16S ribosomal RNA". It matches the Rfam family "Bacterial small subunit ribosomal RNA", at positions 28 to 507 of the family's 1533-position model. The record is from RNAcentral.